Molecule: unclassified non-coding RNA, 309 nt
Filed under: uncultured Helicobasidiaceae
Lineage: Eukaryota; Fungi; Basidiomycota; Pucciniomycetes; Helicobasidiales; Helicobasidiaceae
Description: sequence contains 5.8S rRNA gene
Rfam family: 5.8S ribosomal RNA (bases 1-53)
Source: RNAcentral
GAACGCACCUUGCGCCUUUUGGUAUUCCGAAAGGCACACCUGUUUGAGCGUCAUGAAUACCUCAAUCUCCAUCUUUUCUUCGGAUUGAUGGGUGACUUGGAUGUUGAGCCCUGCUGGUAUGCUAUAUCAGCUGGCUUUAAACUUAUUAGCCGGCUCUGUACUGGAUCGGUUUGACUCGACGUGAUAAUAUUAUCGUUGAGGAUGCGUGUCUCAUGCAGCCGGAAAGUAUCAAAGCAGCUUCUAGCUUGCCUUUAGUGCACUUUUACAUUUUAGACCUCAGAUCAGGUGGGACUACCCGCUGAACUUAAG